RNAcentral lists this ribosomal RNA (229 nucleotides) under uncultured bacterium. Its description in RNAcentral is "partial 16S ribosomal RNA". It matches the Rfam family "Bacterial small subunit ribosomal RNA", at positions 568 to 796 of the family's 1533-position model. The record is from RNAcentral.
UACGUAGGCGGAAAAUUAAGUCAGUAGUGAAAUCCUGCAGCUUAACUGUAGAACUGUUAUUGAUACUGGUUUUCUUGAAUACAGUUGAGGUAGGCGGAAUGUGUAAUGUAGCGGUGAAAUGCUUAGAUAUUACACAGAACACCGAUUGCGAAGGCAGCUUACUAAACUGUUAUUGACGCUGUGGUACGAAAGCGUGGGGAGCGAACAGGAUUAGAUACCCUGGUAGUCC